This 102-nucleotide non-coding RNA is filed under the name Jeotgalibacillus malaysiensis. RNAcentral's name for it is "Guanine sequence". It matches the Rfam family "Purine riboswitch aptamer". Rfam says of the family: Riboswitches are metabolite binding domains within certain messenger RNAs that serve as precision sensors for their corresponding targets. Allosteric rearrangement of mRNA structure is mediated by ligand binding, and this results in modulation of gene expression. Lineage: Bacteria; Bacillati; Bacillota; Bacilli; Caryophanales; Caryophanaceae. The record is from RNAcentral.
AUCAAAUAAAUAAUUUUUCGUCGUAUAACGUCGGGGAUAUGGCCCGAAAGUCUCUACCAAGCUACCGUAAAUAGCUUGACUACGCAGGUUUUUUAGAAGUUC